GGGUAAGAGCAGCUCCCGUUUCCUGGGCAGGAGUGACCAGGGGGUUUUAUGAGAAAAGUAUUCUGGUCACCUUCAUUCAUUUGAAUUGUGCUGGAAGUUAAGAAAGCAAAGGAAUGGGUGAGAGUGGGGGCCAGGAGCUGCCAGCCCAGCGGCGACAGGCCUGGGCGUGCUGGUCGUGACGCCAGAGGUCAGGGGAGAACGUGUAGGGAACAGGCCCCCCAGGUGCUCCACUGCUGUUCAGCUCCCUGGAACCUGUUUCUUUUUUUCACAUUCUUAUGAAAUGUUCUCAACGAUAAUGGCAAGAACAAAAAGAGAAGAAAGGCCAGGUUUAGUAAUACGGUGGGGACACAGCCUCUUGCGUUAUUCGCAGCUGCAAGGGGCAGAGCAGGCUGAGCAGAGGGACUUGCUGGUGUCCUUGUGUGUCCAGGGCUCCCUGUGCACGUGAAGUUCACGUUGGACGUGGGGCAGUCAUGUGAGGGAACUGGCUUUCUGCCCCCAACGCCCUCGACCUACAGAAAUUCUCUCCUCUGGGUUUCACGCAUCCAGUGCCUGCAGGGCUGCAGAACCUGUGACGGUGGCCAGGGAGUGACGUGGUGCCAUGACGAUGUGUUUGGGUGGCUUUGGCAGUCGGUACAGUGUUCCAGGACAGAACUGGUGUACACAUGUUAGCAGUGGUGGUAACAGUUAUUCGCAGGAGACAUGAUUUCUCUUUGUUUUUGAAUUUAUACUCAGUAUCGUUAUCAUUGCAGUGUUUUGUAGCUGGAUGUUGAGAUUACUUCCAGGCGCUUAGAGCUCUCAGGACACAGGUGUAUGUCCACGGCCUCUCUGAAUAGCCGCUCUUAUCCAGGCGUCCAUGGGUCCUUGUCCUUGGGUGGGACUCAGAGCCCUUGUGCACUUGGAUGGAGAAAAGAUAGCACUUUGAUCUCUGAGCGCAGUGUAGCCUUUCCUUCGGAGGUGGAAAUACAGCAUCUGCUGUACGCCUGUCACCAGGAAAUCACACGCAUUUUCAUAUCGUAUAUUUGCAGCUCUCCUGAAGUACUGUAUACAUGUGUCACUAUGAAACGCUGGCAGUCACUCCACCUAUCACUAGCUCUGGUCAUUGACUGCAUCCAUAAAAAGGGACAUAUGUUAUUACAGCAAUAUAUGUUUGAAUAGCUUCAUAACUGUAUGUCAGUUACUUUUCUGCAUAUGCCUGCGUAGUUUACCAUAUUCUGAGCAGGCUGCCCAAGGAGACUGAGGCACAAAUAAAGGUUAAGAAGCCCUUCAGGGAUGCAGUCUCAUGCGACACAAAUCUAAGCAGAUAAAGUCACCAGGUGGUGAGUGGCAGCUGGAAAUACACCCAGGGACCACACGGGGACCCCAGGGCAGCUUCUGUGGAUUCCUGAGCUGCCCCUGGAAUGAAGUAUGAGGAGGAGAAAGAAGCAGGAGGUGAGGGAGCUGGGGCACGAACCCUCAGACCCCCGUGGAAAUGAGGGGUGCUGCUGAGUCCUGGGGGCUCAAGAUGAGUCAGACACAGAGAGGUGGCCGGUCCCUCACUUUUCAGGGCACUGUUUAUGGGGACAGGUGGACAGGAUGCAAUUUCCUUGAAAAAGAUCCAGUGGUGCAGUAGAAUUUUCUAAGACAGUUUCCUUGAUGCAUAAUUCACAUGCAGUAAAUGCAGGUAGACGGUGGGUGACACAGUUUGCCCUGUGAGCAUGUCACAGCCAUGGGAUGCUUUUGGGCCUGGCUUCUUUCACUCAGCAUAACCCCUCUGAGAUCUAGCCAUGCGGAUCUUUUCCUGUUGUGUCAUCUUUAUUAGAAAACUGUGUACUUUGAAAGGGGGAGAAACAAGCCCUUGUUUUCAUAGUACGGAAUUCUAAAAGAGAGGGAGAUUUCUGUGCUUAUCACACGGGAAUGUGGGUUGAAGAUUGCGGCGAAGGGCGGCCCUGGCCUGUGGCCGGAGUGCAUUCCAGUCCGAGGCUGACCAUCCCUGCUAAAUGUGAAAUACUUCAGACCUGAAAGCAGGCCGCUCCCAGGACAAGCUUUGCCGCCCUGGGGGCUUUCGAUCUCUCUCCAUCUCUCAGAUGAGAGGAUUUGGGAAGGUGUCCUGACAGCGUGCCGUGUGCCGGCUGGUUUCCUUAAGCCUCCUCAUCUGGCAGCUAAGGGGAACACAUUAUUUUCCACGUUCCAUAAAUGGACACGAGAGACAGCCAGUCUGAGAGAAUUACUACCCAAGAACGGGGUGAGUCGGGGACCCACAGGCCUGAAGGGCUCGUGGCUUCAGAGAAAAUAGUCAUUUCACUUUCACUUUUGCUCUUGUUUGGGUGGUGAUGAAUCUCUAAACUGGAGGAGUUCAGGUUUUCUUUUCCUUCCUUCUUACCACAUUCCCCUUUCCACUCGGUAAGCGUCACCAUCUCUGUGGAUCCAACAGCCGAAAGCCUGUUUUGUGCCAGGCUCUUUUCCAGGUGCCAAGGAGACAGCGUUCUGGAUAAAUCCUGGGGGUGACUGUGGAGUGGGUGGGCCAGAAGCACCAAACGGGAAUGAAACAGUGUUUCUUACCCUCUCUCGGGUCACGGAGGAUUUGAGAGAAUCUGGUGAAAGUUACGGGAAAUCUCUCCCAGAAAGAUGCACCUAUGUGCUCCACAGGCAGUUGUGCGAUGCUUUCUGAGUGUUUGCAGAGGCCUCGGAAGCUUGCCUGUAGGAAUGACCUCGAGGACGGGCAGGUAUGUGGAGCAGGAACUUCUUCAGAAGACAGAGGAGGCAUAUGUCAGUGAGCAGCUUUCCGGAGGCCUGUCUGCUUGCUGUCUUCUUCUCUCCGUUUAUUUUUGUGGUGUGUGUUCCUCUCAGUGUCCUUGGUCUGCUCGUUAGCCUGUUUCUUAAAUGCAGAGGCUCCCAGGACCCUACCCUCUUGGGCCCCUUCUCCCAAACCCCUUCUUUUCCCGUCAGUCACUGAAAGCCAGCAUGUGGUGAGGGCUGGGCAGGUGCCAGGUGUGGUGUUGAACAUUGUCACAUGGGAUUCCAGGACAGUCCUGUCACUUAGUGAUUAAUGUCUUCAUUUCACGGAGGUGGAGACUCAGCAAGGGAAGUACUUGCCCAGGAGCAGAGGCCCUGGUGCCAUCUGUCCGUCACCCAAUGCUGCACCAUCGGCUCCACCUCCCUCCCCAGCUCCCCACAGCCCAGCCAUUACCCAGCAUGUAUUUCUGCGGGGUUUCCAUGGACACCCACACUCAGCAUGUCAGAACUCCCCCAUACCUGCUCCCCAUGACAUUAGGGAGACCCUUAGUCACCCUAAAAUGUGGGUCUUUUUCUUCUUGACGGUGGCAUUUUUGGUAACCCCCUUGGUUAUAUGCCAAAGAGAAAAUCAGUGGUCACUGUCAGGUCCUAUGUUCCAUGUGUCACACUGACCAUUGUCUCCCAAAGGGUCUUGAAAGCCCUACGUGGCCAGAACGGGAUGAAGGGUGAGAAGACUGACGUGUGCUUUCUGCUGGUCUGGGGUUUCUCAUUACUUUGCAAAAGCAAAACACUCCACCAUCCAGGACAUUUCUCGCCUCAACCUGUGACGGCCCACGGCGUCAGAGCCAUAACGUCGGCAGAACCGGCCAGGCCGGCACCGCCCCGGUGUCUGUGGAAUGGUGGUCAUGUGACCGGACAAAGGAGUGGUCAGAGUCCAAAUCCCAAACACUUGCGUGAGGAGAGAAAAGCCUGCGUCUUCUGUCCUUUCACUGCCACUUCCAAGCUAAGAAGGGAGAGAAAGGCAGCACCCUUCCCAGGCAGGGGGGAAAGCUGUGUUAGGAGAGACUGUUGCAAUGAUUCCUACCACGUUAGACUUUUCCGAGAGCUUUUCAGUUACUCAACACUGACGUCUCACUGAAAUCAAAGUAAACGGGGAUCACAUCAACCUUUCUCAAGUUUUUAUGUUUUCGGUAUUUUUGGCUCAUCCAAACCUUUGUCUGCCGCUCAAGCACUGAGUCAGACCUCCGAAUGGCAAGCGUGGUUUGCUGCAGAUGACACGUGCAGUCCCCGUUCACGUGAGAGGAUGUGGGGGCAGGGCUCCCGGGCUCCUCCAAAGUCAGCGAGGCAUCUGUGGGAUUUGCUUGUAGUUUUCAGGAAACAAGGUGUCACUUAGGACAGUUUCCUGUCAUAAAAAAUUCUCUAAUUUGGUUUUAAAAUAGCAGCUUCUGAUGUUGUUGACUCAGAAAUCUAUAGGAAGUCUAAAAUUGUACAUUUUUUAAUUUUCUUUCUUUUAUUUGGUGAAAGAAUUUUCCACAGACGAGCAGUGAGCUGUUUCUGUCCCUGGCAGGGCAUAAUGAUGUGUGUUCAUUCAUUCACCACACGCACACGUGACGGCCACCUGACAUUCAAAGCAGGUAAGCUGGUGAUUUCAGUGACGGUCCCAUGUCCAGAAACGCGUCCUCCUUCCUCAGGCAUGUCCACAGCACCCCCUCCGGAGCCGCUCACCCAGCCGGCCUGCACUUAGACUCUGUGGCCACCAAAGAGUUUUUUACCCGAAGCUUCUUUGACUUGUACCUCCUCACAAGCUCACCCUGAAGAACAGAGCUAAACAUUUCUGGACAGAUCGACAAAUGACUUACUUUUAUAAGUAAAACAUAGUUUGUCCUUAGUUUCUUUACAUAAAGGAUCAGGAACACAAAUGCUUUGCAACAGUCUUUUCCAUGUGAUUAAAGAAGUUAGAUGUUCAAGAUGCAACACCUAAUCCCAGAGUUCUUAAGGGAACACCAGCCAGGCAGGAGGAGUGGCUGUCUGUGAAAGGGGAGCCCCAGGAGGGGCAGUGGGGGGAGCUGACGGUGAUGGUGGUGAUGCUGAAGCUGGCGCUGUCCAAGAGCCGUGGUCACAAGACCCAGUCCUCAGGGUCUCACAACCCACCUGCCUUCUUUUACUUUUUUUUUAAAAAAAUUUGUUGUAGUAUAUAAGACAAAAUUCUUGAAUUUAACCAUUUUCCAGUGUACAGUUCUGUGGCAGGGAGUGCAGUUACAGUGUUGUGCAGCCAGUUCCAGGCCGUCUUCACCACCCCGAGAGGAAGCCCCGAACGCAUGACGUUGUCUCUCCCCCUUCUCUGCUUCCCGCAGCCCCUGCUUGCGGUCUGUGGGUUUGCCUGUUGCGGGCCUUUCAUAGAGGUGGAGCCGUCGUCUGUGGCCUUUGUGUCUGGCUUCUUCCACUCGGCAGAAUGUCUUCAGGGUCCCUCCACGCUGUGAUGCGUGUCUGGCUCACUCCUCUUCACGGCUGGAUGAUAUUCCAUCGUGUGAUGGACCACAUUUCAUUUACCCACACAUCCAUCGGACAUCUGGGGUGUUUCCACCUUCUGGCUGUUUGUGAAAAAUGCACUGCAAACAUUUGGAUGCAAGUUACUAACUGAACACCUGCUUCCUGUUCUCUGGGGUCUGUACCUCGGAGUGGAAUUGCUGGUCAGAUGGUAAUUCUAUGUUUCACUUAGUGAGAAACUGCCAAACUGGUUUUCUCUUGCUUUCUGAAUGCUUUUCCAAAAAAAUCACCAUAAUAUUGAUAUUCCAAAAUCAAUUAAGGGAUGGUUAAAAAAUUGUUACAUUUCUAGACUGAAUAUUAAAAACCUUAAAAGGUGUCUCUGAGGCCAAAAUUCAUUCAGAACACUUUGCUAAAUCAGCGAGGAAGCACAAGGCACUUACUGCAUUUAUUUUCUUCUGCUGUAGUCGGCUCCUUCCUAAAACAUUCGCCGUUUAUAAAAUUCAGCAUCUCUUAAGAGGAUGGUUAUAAAUAGAUUAUACUGUCACGGCCCACGUUGGUUUUAUACUUUUUCUGGGUCAAAUGCAACCUCUCUAAUCUCUUUUGUGAUUUGGUUAAAUGCAGAUUAAUCCAAGGCAAAUCUGAGUUAGUUACUCAUCUUUUUUAUGUUGACUUUUGCUUCAAUUUCACGGUUGCCCAGGGCAGGGUAAGAGAGAACUGAAAUGAUUACAGAUGAUAUUACAGAUGAGGCUGACAUUUCCCAACAUCAAAUUGGCUGGUGAUGCUCCCUGUCCCAGCUUAAAGGGAACAUGAUGGAUGUCCCACACAACAGUGAGCUCCACUGUGGACCUACCCGUUCCUAUGUGGCCAGCUCCCAGCCCUCAAUCCCGUUCUGAUGGCCCAGCCUCCUCCGUGCUCCCAGGAUUUGGGCAAGGAUUUCAGGGGCUCUUCUCCACAAGAGGUCUGCUCUCACCCAGGGCUAAGAUCCCAAAUGUUUAACCAUCAAUAUGGCACAGGCCAGUCUGCACAGAGGACACGGGCCAUCAUGUGAUGUAGCAGGUUUCUGUUUAAUAACUGCUUACGUGUUUUCAAUGCCUGGAAAUGACGUUAGAAGCCAAAUCUGUGGAAUGGGGGAGGAGGGUCUUCUCUAGCAGCAGUGGAGUAGGUUACCAGGUGGCAAGACGGUGUGGGGUUGCCCUCAAUUUCCUGGUGUUGACGUCUCACUUCUGCAUCAGCCCCUGCCCUGUUCUCAGACACAGGAGCAGAGGCUUUGCGUCUGAGGUUAGCGGGCCUGUGCUACCCGGCCAGCCCUGAACAAGCCUCUGGGCUCACGUCCCUGACCACUGGGCUCUGGGCUUCUGGGCCGCCCAGUUCUGCCUCGUGCCCACUGUGCCCGGGCCUUGCCCAGGGGUCCUGAGCCCCUGCGGUCACGCACAUGGGCCUUCACCUUGCUCUGCUCCAGGCACCUCAGCCCGGCUGAGAUUGGAGCUCUGCCUGUUAUGGAUGUGUUAGCAACAUGAAUCGUUUCUCUGUCCUUUUCCAGAUGAUAAAAAUAAUGUAUGCUUAUUGCAGAAAACUUGCUAAAUACAAAAGAAACUAAAAAAUCGCCAUCAUUCGUAUCUCCCAGUGGUUACCACCAUUAACAUACAGAAUUUUUCCAGUGCGUGUAUUUUUUGUAAAGAAAUGGGAUAAUAUUCUUUAUGUAGCUUUGUCUUUUACAAAUAUUUUUUCUUUCAGUACUACUGAGAGGUAACUGACAUACAGCACUGUGUAAGUUUCAAGUGCACAGCAUAUUGAUUUGACCUCCCAUGUGCUGUGAAAUGAUAACCACCAUAAGCUUAGUUAACAUCCAUCAUCUCAUACAGAUGAAAAAAUGUUUUGUUUUUCCUUGUGAUGAGAACUAGGAUUUACUCGCUUAGCUACUUUGAAAUAUACUAUACAGAAGUGUGAGCCACAGACGUCAUGUUGUAUGUGUGUUUUCCUUAACAUUAAAUU
Rhinolophus ferrumequinum (greater horseshoe bat) is the source of this 7191-nucleotide long non-coding RNA. RefSeq lists it as uncharacterized. The record is from RefSeq and is a predicted model, not a curated record. The transcript is spliced from 3 exons. Lineage: Eukaryota; Metazoa; Chordata; Mammalia; Chiroptera; Rhinolophidae.